This 73-nucleotide transfer RNA is filed under the name Pectobacterium phage My1. It matches the Rfam family "tRNA". From Rfam's summary of the family: Transfer RNA (tRNA) molecules are approximately 80 nucleotides in length. Their secondary structure includes four short double-helical elements and three loops (D, anti-codon, and T loops). The record is from Rfam by way of RNAcentral. Lineage: Duplodnaviria; Heunggongvirae; Uroviricota; Caudoviricetes; Demerecviridae.
UGGAACUUAGUGUACUGGUUAGCACAGGGGCCUUUGACUCCCCUAGAGUUAGGUUCAAUUCCUACAGUUCCUG